RNAcentral lists this transfer RNA (53 nucleotides) under Aleuroglyphus ovatus (brown legged grain mite). RNAcentral's name for it is "tRNA-Ser". Lineage: Eukaryota; Metazoa; Arthropoda; Arachnida; Sarcoptiformes; Acaridae. The record is from RNAcentral.
CAGGGCAUACAAGAGGAUUUCUAAUCCUAAAUACCCCCUAGGGGGUGCCUUUU